UUUCCGUAGGUGAACCUGCGGAAGGAUCAUUAUUGAAAUAAACCUGAUGGGUUGUUGCUGGCUCUCUAGGGAGCAUGUGCACGCCUUGUCAUCUUUAUAUCUCCACCUGUGCACCUUUUGUAGACCUUUCAGGUCUAUGUCGCUUCAUUUAUACCCCAAUGUAUGUUAAUAGAAUGUUGUGCCUAUAUUAUAAUAUAUACAACUUUCAGCAACGGAUCUCUUGGCUCUC
This 229-nucleotide unclassified non-coding RNA is filed under the name plant metagenome. RNAcentral's name for it is "partial contains small subunit ribosomal RNA, internal transcribed spacer 1, and 5.8S ribosomal RNA". The record is from RNAcentral.